RNAcentral lists this long non-coding RNA (865 nucleotides) under Anas platyrhynchos (mallard). RNAcentral describes it as "lncRNA (ENSAPLG00020013975.1)". Lineage: Eukaryota; Metazoa; Chordata; Aves; Anseriformes; Anatidae. The record is from RNAcentral.
AGGGAUUCAGCAGCCACAGUGUGUCUAAACUGAUUGCUUACCACCAGAAUCAUCUGUGUUUUGGGCAUCUUUGAUAUCUCUACAGCUCGUCCCUCACAGCAACAUCUGAGAUCACUGUCCUUCCCAGCGCUGUUCUUUGGCUCAGUUGCUUGGCUUCAGUGUGAGGUGAGCAUGGAUUGGAGUGGCGUUUGGCUAACGUGCUCUGAAAACACUCAGUUCAUCUCAAAGUGCUUCUUUGAGUUCCCAACAAAGAUAGUGCUGCUGGUCCUGCCUGCUGUGCAAAUACAUGGAUGAGGAAAGCUCCUGUCUCUGGCAUGUUUGCAGUCUUCUAGAUGUAAUCAGAAGAAGUGCCCCUAAGAUCUUCUAUCAACCCUAUCAAUCAAAUGAAUCAUCGAGUCAGAGAUACGGUGUCUUCCAUGGCAAGUUCUGUGGAAGGCCAUUGUGGACACACUGCACAGUAUUUUCACCUUAAAACGAAUCAAGCCAAUGGCAUGCACAGAUGGGUCAACUCUUGUCUGCCUUGAAGAAAUGGGAGUGACAGCAGCUGUAAGUGAACCAUUCUAAACUCUUAAUACUCAUUUUUGUAAUCGAACUUGAGCUAUCAGGCAGAUGCAAGUAACAUACUUUAGUGACUUGGCUCGCAAAUAGAGCCCACAACAUUUAUGAGGACUUAAGAGCUUAUUACAUGGCCAUCAGCACUCUCAUUCAGAUAAUGGAGGGUCAUAGGAGUGAAAACAGAUCUUUUGGAAUUACUUUCAUGAUGGGUGCUGCAUGGGCUGGAAUGGUUUGGGGUUAUUUCUUUGCCAAACUCUCCACAUAGCUAAUUGAACCCAGAAACACGGGGGAUCACUUUGAGAAGGACACG